GACGAACGCUGGCGGCGUGCUUAACACAUGCAAGUCGAACGGUAAGGCCCCAGCUUGCUGGGGUACACGAGUGGCGAACGGGUGAGUAACACGUGGGUGACCUGCCCCGCACUUCGGGAUAAGCCUGGGAAACUGGGUCUAAUACCGGAUAGGACCGCACCGUGAGGGUGUGGUGGAAAGUGUUUCGGUGUGGGAUGGGCCCGCGGCCUAUCAGCUUGUUGGUGGGGUAAUGGCCUACCAAGGCGGCGACGGGUAGCCGGCCUGAGAGGGUGGACGGCCACAUUGGGACUGAGACACGGCCCAGACUCCUACGGGAGGCAGCAGUGGGGAAUAUUGCACAAUGGGCGGAAGCCUGAUGCAGCGACGCCGCGUGGGGGAUGACGGCCUUCGGGUUGUAAACUCCUUUCACCAUCGACGAAGGUUUUCUGACGGUAGAUGGAGAAGAAGCACCGGCUAACUACGUG
This 464-nucleotide ribosomal RNA is filed under the name uncultured bacterium. RNAcentral's name for it is "partial 16S ribosomal RNA". It matches the Rfam family "Bacterial small subunit ribosomal RNA", at positions 28 to 507 of the family's 1533-position model. The record is from RNAcentral.